UGGGGAAUUUUGGACAAUGGGCGAAAGCCUGAUCCAGCAAUGCCGCGUGUGUGAAGAAGGCCUUCGGGUUGUAAAGCACUUUUGUCCGGAAAGAAAUCCUCUGAGUUAAUACCUCGGGGGGAUGACGGUACCGGAAGAAUAAGCACCGGCUAACUACGUGCCAGCAGCCGCGGUAAUACGUAGGGUGCAAGCGUUAAUCGGAAUUACUGGGCGUAAAGCGUGCGCAGGCGGUUUUGUAAGACGGAUGUGAAAUCCCCGGGCUUAACCUGGGAACUGCAUUCGUGACUGCAAGGCUAGAGUAUGGCAGAGGGGGGUAGAAUUCCACGUGUAGCAGUGAAAUGCGUAGAGAUGUGGAGGAAUACCGAUGGCGAAGGCAGCCCCCUGGGCCAAUACUGACGCUCAUGCACGAAAGCGUGGGGAGCAAACAGGAUUAGAUACCCUGGUAGUCCACGCCCUAAACGAUGUCAACUAGUUGUUGGGGAUUCAUUUCCUUAGUAACGUAGCUAACGCGUGAAGUUGGACCGCCUGGGGAGUACGGUCGCAAGAUUAAAA
Molecule: ribosomal RNA, 552 nt
Filed under: uncultured bacterium
Lineage: Bacteria
Description: partial 16S ribosomal RNA
Rfam family: Bacterial small subunit ribosomal RNA
Source: RNAcentral